UGAUAAAACAUGUAACUGAUGCUGCCAACAGCAGAAAGACUGAGAGGAAGGAAGUAGCAGGUUCGCAGGAGCAGAUAUUUUUCCGACUUUGGGAUUUUGUUUAUGCAGCCUGGAAACUUCCAGGGAAAUUCAUAUGACAUGCUUGCAGAUAUAUAACCAUGCCACAAGGGGAUGUU
This is a long non-coding RNA of Lolium rigidum, 176 nucleotides long. RefSeq lists it as uncharacterized. Lineage: Eukaryota; Viridiplantae; Streptophyta; Magnoliopsida; Poales; Poaceae. The transcript is spliced from 4 exons. The record is from RefSeq and is a predicted model, not a curated record.